RNAcentral lists this ribosomal RNA (616 nucleotides) under uncultured Legionella sp. RNAcentral's name for it is "bacterial SSU rRNA". It matches the Rfam family "Bacterial small subunit ribosomal RNA", at positions 242 to 849 of the family's 1533-position model. Lineage: Bacteria; Pseudomonadati; Pseudomonadota; Gammaproteobacteria; Legionellales; Legionellaceae. The record is from RNAcentral.
UAGCUUGUUGGUGAGGUAAUGGCUCACCAAGGCGACGAUCGGUAGCUGGUCUGAGAGGAUGACCAGCCACACUGGAACUGAGACACGGUCCAGACUCCUACGGGAGGCAGCAGUGGGGAAUAUUGGACAAUGGGGGCAACCCUGAUCCAGCAAUGCCGCGUGUGUGAAGAAGGCCUGAGGGUUGUAAAGCACUUUCAGUGGGGAGGAGGAUUAACAGGUUAAGAGCUGGUUAAUUGGACGUUACCCACAGAAGAAGCACCGGCUAACUCCGUGCCAGCAGCCGCGGUAAUACGGGGGGUGCGAGCGUUAAUCGGAAUUACUGGGCGUAAAGGGUGCGUAGGUGGUUAAUUAAGUUAGAUGCAAAAACCCUGGGCUUAACCUAGGACUGAGAUUUAAUACUGAUUAACUGGAGUAUGGGAGAGGGUAGUGGAAUUUCCGGUGUAGCGGUGAAAUGCGUAGAGAUCGGAAGGAACACCAGUGGCGAAGGCGGCUACCUGGCCUAAUACUGACACUGAGGCACGAAAGCGUGGGGAGCAAACAGGAUUAGAUACCCUGGUAGUCCACGCUGUAAACGAUGUCAACUAGCCGUUGGUCAUAUGAAAAUGAUAAGUGGCGC